RNAcentral lists this ribosomal RNA (301 nucleotides) under uncultured bacterium. RNAcentral describes it as "partial 16S ribosomal RNA". It matches the Rfam family "Bacterial small subunit ribosomal RNA", at positions 509 to 808 of the family's 1533-position model. The record is from RNAcentral.
CAGCAGCCGCGGUAAUACGUAGGUCCCGAGCGUUGUCCGGAUUUAUUGGGCGUAAAGGGAGCGCAGGCGGUUUAGUAAGUCUGAAGUUAAAGGCAUUGGCUCAACCAAUGUACGCUUUGGAAACUGUUUAACUUGAGUGCAAGAGGGGAGAGUGGAAUUCCGUGUGUAGCGGUGAAAUGCGUAGAUAUAUGGAGGAACGCCGGUGGCGAAAGCGGCUCUCUGGCUUGUAACUGACGCUGAGGCUCGGAAGCGUGGGGAGCAAGCAGGAUUAGAUACCCGGGUAGUCCCUGUCUCUUAUACA